AGCAGGGUGCCAGGGAAGGGUGCAGGGCCUCCUCCGUGCCCUCAGUGCUGUCCAAUCUGCCACUGUGAUCCGUGGCCAAGGGUUGCACCAGGACGUUUGAGAUUGAGCUGAGCUCAUCCCAUGGCACCUGGAGCCAGCUGCCCCCCAGAGCAAUGGCAGCGGUGUUGGCUCUGCUGGUGCUGGUGGCUUGGCCAGUUCCUGCCGCAGGACUCUCUGCUCAAUGUCUGCAUGGAUGCCAAGCACAAUAAAACAGAGCCUGGCCCUGAGGGGCAGCUCUACGGGCAGGUACGGUCCUCAUCCACUGCACCAGCACACGCUGGUGUCACUUGCUGUGGGGUCACUAGGAUGGAGGCUGGGGGGCUCUGUGUCCCAACAUGAAUUCUAUCACUCAGUGUCACCCACCCAUGGGAACUAACACUUUUCCUGGAGCCCUGGUGGGUCCUGAUGGGUCUUUGCUGAUCCCCAGCUGCUCUGGUGCAGUGUCUCCUCUGUAAGGACAAUGCCUGCUGCAUUGCAAGCACCGGUUUGGAAACCCAGCAGGAUCAGUCCUACCUGUAAAACUUCCAACUGGGCUCACUGUGGGGCCAUGCCGGACAAGUACAAGUGCCACUUCAUCCAGGACGUGUCUCUAUGAGUGCUCCCCUAACCUGGGGCCAUGGAUUGACCAGGUAGGUGCAGACUUCCCCUCACCCACCCACCAGGAUCCCUGGGGUGAACUGGGGGAAACUGGGGGCCCUGCAGGCAGACACCAGCUGGCAGAAGGAGCGGAUCCAGGAUGUGCCACUGUGCCAGGAGGACUGAGCAGUGGUGGGAGGAUUGCUGGGAUGCUGUAAGCUGUAAGGUCAAUUAGCACAAGAGCUGGAACUGGACUACAGGUGACUGGGGGUUGUGAGCACCUCCCAUCAUUCCUUGACCCUCCAGCCACUCUCUGUCACUGAUGGUGGAGACAGGAAAGUGACACAAACACAACAAGAUCAUGCAGCAACAGCCAACUUUGAUUGAAUUGCACCCUCUUCUACAGGGGCUUUGAAUUUCCCAUGCUUACAGAGAUGAUUGGACAAAGAUCUUAACUGCAUCCAGCUCACUGGCCAACAUGGAAAAAUGCCCCUGGAGGCCUCCAAUUAAAGACCAGCUUUUAUAUUACCUCCUUUAUUAAAAAUGUUUUUUAUGUGUGUUGUUCUAUUGCUAGAUUUUUAAGGCAUCAGUUCCUCCCCCUUCUGGUUCAACUCUCUUUGGGAGCCCCCCUUUUGCAAGUUGUUUAUGGGAAAGUGUCUUGGGAGGGUGGCUCGUCCUUGGUUCCCAAAAGAACCAAGAUUAGAAUAGGGACUUCGAAAUGUGUUUUGUCUUUCUGUCUGUCAAGGUAGGAAAAAUACUGGAGACAGAUAGGAACUAUAUAACUAUACAAUAAGAAUCUACAGAGCUACAGAGU
Cyanistes caeruleus (blue tit) is the source of this 1429-nucleotide non-coding RNA. Lineage: Eukaryota; Metazoa; Chordata; Aves; Passeriformes; Paridae. The record is from RefSeq and is a predicted model, not a curated record.